AUAGAAAUAGAAAUAUCAUUUGACCCAGCAAUCCCAUUACUGGUCAUACACCCAGAGGAUUUUAAAUCAUCCUGUUAUAAUGACACAUGCACAGGUAUGUUCAUAAC
Molecule: long non-coding RNA, 107 nt
Organism: Sapajus apella (tufted capuchin)
Lineage: Eukaryota; Metazoa; Chordata; Mammalia; Primates; Cebidae
Exons: 3
Source: RefSeq, a predicted model, not a curated record